This 1975-nucleotide ribosomal RNA is filed under the name Caenorhabditis elegans. RNAcentral describes it as "SSU rRNA". It matches the Rfam family "Eukaryotic small subunit ribosomal RNA". Lineage: Eukaryota; Metazoa; Nematoda; Chromadorea; Rhabditida; Rhabditidae. The record is from RNAcentral. RNAcentral also lists the same sequence under 1 other name.
CCUGAUUGAUUCUGUCAGCGCGAUAUGCUCAAGUAAAAGAUUAAGCCAUGCAUGCUUUGAUUCAUCAAUGAAAUUGCGUACGGCUCAUUAGAGCAGAUAUCACCUUGUUCGGAAUAUUAUAUGGAUAACUGCGGAAAUACUGGAGCUAAUACAUGCAACUAAGCCCCAACGUAAGGCGGGGUGCAAUUAUUAGAACAGACCAAACGUUUUCGGACGUUGUUUGUUGACUCUGAAUAAAGCAGUUUACUGUCAGUUUCGACUGACUCUAUCCGAAAAGGGUGUCUGCCCUUUCAACUAGAUGGUAGUUUAUUGGACUACCAUGGUUGUUACGGGUAACGGAGAAUAAGGGUUCGACUCCGGAGAGGGAGCCUUAGAAACGGCCACCACGUCCAAGGAAGGCAGCAGGCGCGAAACUUAUCCACUGUUGAGUAUGAGAUAGUGAAUAAAAUUAUAAAGACUCAUCCUUUUGGAUGAGUUAUUUCAAUGAGUUGAAUACAAAUGAUUCUUCGAGUAGCAAGGAGAGGGCAAGUCUGGUGCCAGCAGCCGCGGUAAUUCCAGCUCUCCUAGUGUAUCUCGUUAUUGCUGCGGUUAAAAAGCUCGUAGUUGGAUCUAGGUUACGUUCUGUAGUUCGCAAUUUGCGUCAACUGUAGUCGUGAUUUCUAAUUUGCUGGUUUGAGGUUGGGUUCGCCCUUCAACUGCCAGCAGGUUUACCUUGAAUAAAUCAGAGUGCUCAAAACAAGUGUUUGCUUGAAUAGCUCAUCAUGGAAUAAUGAAACAGGACUUCGGUUCUUUUUGUUGGUUCUAGAACUGAUUUAAUGGUUAAGAGGGACAAACCGGGGGCAUUCGUAUCAUUACGCGAGAGGUGAAAUUCGUGGACCGUAGUGAGACGCCCAACAGCGAAAGCAUUUGCCAAGAAUGUCUUCAUUAAUCAAGAACGAAAGUCAGAGGUUCGAAGGCGAUUAGAUACCGCCCUAGUUCUGACCGUAAACGAUGCCAUCUCGCGAUUCGGAGGGUUUUUGGCCUGCCGAGGAGCUAUCCGGAAACGAAAGUCUUUCGGUUCCGGGGGUAGUAUGGUUGCAAAGCUGAAACUUAAAGAAAUUGACGGAAGGGCACCACAAGGCGUGGAGCUUGCGGCUUAAUUUGACUCAACACGGGAAAACUCACCCGGUCCGGACACCUUUAGGACUGACAGAUUGAAAGCUCUUUCUCGAUAUGGUGGUUGGUGGUGCAUGGCCGUUCUUAGUUGGUGGAGUGAUUUGUCUGGUUUAUUCCGAUAACGAGCGAGACUCUAGCCUGCUAAAUAGUUGGCGAACCCUUAGUAUGCCUAAGUGUUAAAGUAUUGCCUAAAAAAAUUUGAUAUAUGAAAAUUUAUAUCAUCUAUCUACUAGGCGAAAAAAAAGGUAAAAAAAAGUAAAUAUAUAUCAUAAACCUACUAGACAAAAGAAACAUUUAUAUGUAUUUUCUCGAAUAAUGUCUAGCAGUUAAAAAAAAAUGAAUUACUACAAGCUUAAAGGUCUGUUUUAAGCAAUGCUUGUUGUAGGCAUACUUUCGGGUUCGUGUGACUUCUUAGAGGGAUAAGCGGUGUUUAGCCGCACGAGAUUGAGCGAUAACAGGUCUGUGAUGCCCUUAGAUGUCCGGGGCUGCACGCGUGCUACACUGGUAGACUCAGCGGGUUUUUCCUAUGCCGAAAGGUAUCGGUAAACCGUUGAAAUUCUGCCAUGUCCGGGAUAGGGUAUUGUAAUUAUUACCCUUGAACGAGGAAUGCCUAGUAAGUGUGAGUCAUCAGCUCACGUUGAUUACGUCCCUGCCCUUUGUACACACCGCCCGUCGCUAUCCGGGACUGAACUGAUUCGAGAAGAGUGGGGACUGUGGCUUCGAGGUUUAACGACUUCGUUGUUGCGGGAACCAUUUUUAUCGCGUUGGUUUGAACCGGGUAAAAGUCGUAACAAGGUAGCUGUAGGUGAACCUGCAGCUG